Molecule: ribosomal RNA, 780 nt
Filed under: uncultured Neocallimastigales
Lineage: Eukaryota; Fungi; Neocallimastigomycota; Neocallimastigomycetes; Neocallimastigales
Description: partial large subunit ribosomal RNA
Rfam family: Eukaryotic large subunit ribosomal RNA
Source: RNAcentral
UCAGACGAUGCGUCAUGCAUAUCAAUAAGCGGAGGAAAAGAAACUAACAAGGAUUCCCUUAGUAACGGCGAGUGAAGCGGGAAGAGCUCAAAUUUGAAAUCUUAAAGGGUUCUACCUUGACGAAUUGUAGUUUAAAGAAGUGUUUUCUGUUAGGAGUUUUCGGUAAAAGUUCUUUGGAAUAGGACAUCAUAGAGGGUGAGAAUCCCGUAUUUGACCAGUUAUUUCCAGCUUUGUGAUACACUUUCAAAGAGUCGGAUUGUUUGGGAAUGCAGUCCAAAAUGGGUGGUAAAUUUCAUCUAAAGCUAAAUAUUGGCGAGAGACCGAUAGUGAACAAAGUACCGUGAGGGAAAGAUGAAAAGAACUUUGAAAAGAGAGUUAAACAGUACGUGAAAUUGUCAAAAGGGAAGCGUUUGACACCAGUGUUGUUUUCUCGAAAAUCAAUUAAAAAAGGCAGGAUUUUGUGUUGUAUUGACUUUAUCAGCUUUCUGCACUCUUUUCUUGUCUUUUUUUAAUGCACUUUUCGUUUAACAAGUCAACAUCAAUUUCUUUUGUUGUAAAAGGGUCAUUGGAAGGUGGCUUUCUUUUCGGAGAAAGUGUUUAUAGCCUUUUACCUCUGCAAUCGGAGAGAUUGAGGUCUGCAGCGUAGAUCCUUCGGGGUUAGAUACAUUUGUGCUAAGUUAUAGCCUUUCAUAGACAACUUGUUGACUAUGAUCAGUCAUGUAGCUUACUCGCUUAUGCUAUUUUACCUACGCUUAGGAUGUUGAUCUACAGAGCGAGAGU